RNAcentral lists this ribosomal RNA (169 nucleotides) under uncultured Rhizobium sp. RNAcentral's name for it is "partial 16S ribosomal RNA". It matches the Rfam family "Bacterial small subunit ribosomal RNA", at positions 338 to 524 of the family's 1533-position model. Lineage: Bacteria; Pseudomonadati; Pseudomonadota; Alphaproteobacteria; Hyphomicrobiales; Rhizobiaceae. The record is from RNAcentral.
CCUACGGGAGGCAGCAGUGGGGAAUAUUGGACAAUGGGCGCAAGCCUGAUCCAGCCAUGCCGCGUGAGUGAUGAAGGCCUUAGGGUUGUAAGGCUCUUUCACCGGAGAAGAUAAUGACGGUAUCCGGAGAAGAAGCCCCGGCUAACUUCGUGCCAGCAGCCGCGGUAAU